AGUAAUGCUAAGGACAGACGCUUGCACAAACGCUUUCUAUCACACGCUUUGCUAGUGGGCCACGUUGCAUAAUUCUUUUAAUCACUCACUUGUUAACCGGUUAUAUGUGUAAAUACAUUUUUAAUUUUUUUUCUGCUUUCGUCUUCAUCCUUUGAAUAUUCAGUCCACUGUUCAAGAAAUAAAAGAGAAUAACGACACCCCCAUCCAACCUACCUUGAUGGCAGCCAACCUUCUACAUCAAUUUGUUUCAUCAUUCAUUUUUUUUUUCCUCAAACACCAUCCUUCUUCAAACAAUUACUAAUUUCCUUUCCUCUUUCUAUACAAAUGAAAAUAAUAUCUUCCACUCUCAAUUCACAUUUGUGUUUUUGUGCUUACAUCAACCAUGGUUUCUAAGGUAUAAGGAUCCUUUUCCUCUCUAAAAAUUGUCACCUCUCUCUCUCUAACUUUCCGACCGCCACAAACACCGGUUACACAGUCAAAUACCAGAUCUGACUUCUGAGCCUUCCAGUGCAAAAUUUUCCAUUUCCAUUCUUCUGUUUCGUGUUACAUUCUUCCAAUGACAUACCUCGUCACCAUAGUCGUUGCUUGCAAGCCUUUUUCAACAAUCAUUCUCACCAUGGAGACCCAUGAUUUCCUCCCUUUUCAUCGGAACCUGAUUCUAAAAUUAAGUCAUUGAGAAACAAUAUUUUUACAGGUGAUAGUUCAGCGGUGUGGUGUUUUAUGACGGCGUUGGACUACCAAUGACUUCUGAUGCUUGGUGGGAUGGUGGUGACCAGUGGUUUGAGAGAGAAAAAAAGAUGCAAUAUUGAAACUGGCUGUACCGGUUGCCUAUAACACUAUUUAGUGAAAAUAAUGACUUGGUCCAAUAACAGAGCGUGUGAUAGAAAGCGUUUGUGCAAGCGUUUGCCCGUAGCAUUACU
Molecule: long non-coding RNA, 920 nt
Filed under: Medicago truncatula (barrel medic)
Lineage: Eukaryota; Viridiplantae; Streptophyta; Magnoliopsida; Fabales; Fabaceae
Description: long non-coding RNA (MTRU_LNC008059)
Source: RNAcentral